RNAcentral lists this long non-coding RNA (8041 nucleotides) under Amborella trichopoda. RNAcentral describes it as "long non-coding RNA (ATRI_LNC004347)". Lineage: Eukaryota; Viridiplantae; Streptophyta; Magnoliopsida; Amborellales; Amborellaceae. The record is from RNAcentral.
CAGGUAGCUUUAAUGGCGUGUUAUUAAAUGGAGGUUUUGAUUCGAUCAGUUUUAUAAUUCUCGUGUUUUGAAUUGCUCCCUUUCUCUCUCUUUUCCUUGAUUUGAGGGGUUAGUGAUUUCAUUUUAACACAGCACUUCUGUUAAUAAGGGCUUUGAAACUGUUUUAGGGUUUUAGAUCGUUUGAAUUAGAUGAUUUUCCAGCUCUCUCUCUCUCUUUUUCUGAUUGUAGCUUCCUUUUGUUAUUCUCCUCUCACUCUCUCUCUCUGCCUUCUCUGUCUAUUUCCUUCCUGUUAUGAAUCUGUUUCUUCAUUGUUUCCAUUAAUUAGUUGCAAACAUUCUGCUUGAUCAAUUUGUGAACACUUUUAUUUUUUUGCGUGUCUUACUGUUAUCAUUGUUUUUCUUCUAUUUUAUGCUCAUACAAUUCUCUCUAUGCAUCUACAUCAUAUCAUGAUUUACAGGUUUAAUUUGGUCCUUCUUUUUUUUUUUUUUUCCCCCUUUCAAUUCUGAAUUUUUAAGGGUUUGUUUUCCUAUAAUUUUGAUAAUCACUCAUUCUCUUUGGACAUCCUUCUGAUUGAACAGAUGAUCAAGGAAGCUAUCUUGGCAUUGAAAGAGAAGGGAGGGUCUAGCCCUUAUGCCAUUGCAAAGUUCAUGGAGGGGAAAUACAAGGCUGUGCUCCUAGGUAAUUUCAAGAAAAUGCUUGCCCUUCAGCUCAAGAACCACGCUGCAAAAGGGAAGCUCGUCAAGGUGAAAGCCUCUUAUAACCUUGUUGAAGAGGUGAAGAAAGAAGCUCCUGCAAAGAAACCCACAAAGAAGCCUGUAACUACUGCUUCAAAGAAGCCUAAGGCCCAAAAGAAGUCUGCAGCCUCUGCUCCUAAAGCUUCUUCGAAGCCAUUGAAGAAAAAGACCACAUCUGUUAAGAAAUCCCCAGCUCCUAAGAGGGCAGCACCUGCUAAGCCAAAGCAACCAAAAUCCAUUAAGUCUGUGAAGUCACCUGUGGCGAAGAAGGCGAGGAAGGUGGCUUAGGCAGUGAGAAGUUGAUAGUGCCAUGGCCGAGUCUUGUAAUAUUUGAUCUGUAAAUUCUUCUUCUUGACAUAGGAGCUUGUUUCUUUCUUCCCCUGUUCUGAAGGCUGGCUCGUCGGAUAAUGGUGGAAGUUUUUUUGAUGGAUUGUAGAUCCUAUAUGUCCAUGUUUCGAUCUAGCAGUAGCUAUGCCAAUAGAAAAAAAACUAUUAGCACUGUUCGUUAAAAAAAAAAAAAUUAGAACUGUUAAUCAACAUAACUUAUAUAGCGCUUUCUCCGUUAGUUCAUUCUCUCUUCCUUCUCUCUCCAUUAGUUCAUUCUCUCUUCCUUCUCUCUCCAUUAGUUCUUCUCUCUUCCUUCUCUCACCAUUAUUUCCUUCUCUCUUCCUUCUCUCUCCAUUAUUUCCUUCUCUCUUCCUUCUCUCUCCAUUAUUUCCUUCUCUCUUCCUUCUCUCUCCAUUAUUUCCUUCUCUUUCAUUCAUGCUUUGCUCUUGCGUUCACGUCUCUCUUGUUUUUGGGUAUUCUGAAUCUCUCUUUGCAAGGUUCCGUUUCCUCCUUUCUUUCGGUUUCGGUUGCAGGUUGCGAUCGCCCACUCUUCAACUUCGCUAUUCUUAUAGAAUGAUCCCGCUUUCCGUUUCGGUUGAUGGUUUCGAACGCCACUCUUCUCUCUCUAUUCUUAGAAAGAUGCAGUUGCUUAGGAAAUGAGCGUCGUUUUUUUUUUACCCUGGGGAAUAAGUCUUUUUAUAUGAAUAUUUGCGGUAUAUUAUUUUCUGAGUCCUACGAUUUUCUCUCUGAUAGAGUGGAUGGAUGAUGAGAAAGAUGGGUGUCAUGUUUUGAAUGGGCAUUGCCUACUUUUCAACUUCCAAUGCACAUUUCCUUCCAAAUACUUUUAUUCUUAUACUAUUCUAAAAAAUUGUAACCCAAACCAACCUAUGUUAUAUGUGGCUGUGAAAAUGUAAUUUAAUCUAACUUAUGUUAUACGGUACUUUCAAUACUGUAAAAUCAUCCAUGUUACUUUAACAUUUUAAGUUUGGUAAAAAUUAACUUAUGUUUUACGGUAUUUGAAAUGUUGUAAUUUUUUUUAUUUAUAUUUAUUUAUUUCAUAUCUCAAUCAUUUUAUGCUUAUAGUAAUUACACUAUGAGGCCCUCCAACAUUUUAUGUUUGAGACAUUACAUUAUGAGAGUAGAAUCUCAAAGGAUCAUCAUUAAAUUUUAAUGUAAAUUUUUAGAAAAGUCAUGUGAUACAGAUUCAUUAAAUUUUAAUAUAGAUCUUUAAAAGAGUUAAUGACAUGGGUGUGUGAUUUCCUACAUCUACUUUAAUAGGAUUUUAAAGGAUCAUCAUUAAAUUUUAUAGAUUUCUAGAAAAGUUAUGACAUGGGUGUGUGAUUUGGGUUGAUAAGUUUAUUGAUAAUUUUUUAAAAAUUGAAUGGUGAUAUUUUAGGGACUUAUUCGUAUUGGUGUGGGAGGGUUUUAUAGUAUUAUUAUUUUUUAUGUUUAUAUCUUUUUUCUCUCUUUUAUUUUUUUUCAUAUUUAUUUUUAUUUUUUACUUUAUUUCUUUUUUCUCUUCUUUCUUUCGCUAACUCAUUUCGAAAAGAUUUGGAUAACAACAUUUGCGUAUUUUACUUUGUUGUAUAAAAACUCCCUUCAACGCCAUGAUGAAUCAAAUUUAUAUCACGUUGGAAUUGCGUUUGUUGACGGGAUGAAGUAAGUAAAGAGAGAAAGAGAGAAAGAAGAGAUAAAAAUAAAAUAAAAAGAAAGAGCAGAUAAAUAUUAAAAAAAAUUAGAGAGAGAAAGAAGAGAUAAAAAAAUUAAAGAGAAAUAAUAGACAAAUAUUAAAAAAAAUUAACGAGAGAAAGAGGAGAUAAAUAUAAAAAGAAUAAUUAUAGAGAUGAAAGAGAUAAAUAUAAGAUCAGAUUUGUAUCACGUUGGAAUAGUGUUGGUUAAAAAAUUAAAGAGAGAGAAGUAGAGGGAGAAAUAAGAGGUAAACAUAAAAAGAAUUAGAGAAAUGAAAGAGAUAAAUAUGAGGAGAAAAUAAUUUAUUGAAUGUCAUAUAACAUGAUUUAGUUUUUACUGUACUUAAAAUAUUGUACUGUAAUUGUAUUUCACGGUAAAAAAAAAGAAAAAGACCCGAAAUUGAAAGUUUUUAAAAUACUUAAAAUACCGUACCGUAAUUGUGCUUCAUGGUAAAUAAAAGAAAGAAGCCCAAAAUUGAAGAAAAAUAGUGUGGGCUAGGUUUAUAAAAGUUUAGGAGUUUUUUUUCUUCUAAAUAGAUGAAAAUUAAGAUACAUUUGUGAUAAUUUUCCAUUAUUUUAUCUUUGGUGAAAGGAGGUCAAAAUUAUUUUUGCAUAGAUGAAAACAUGUUCACAGUAUUCGAGAUUUUAUAGCCAUUGUUAAGACUUUGCCCAUAUUGUCCUCUGAUCAUUGCCUUAUCUUACUGAAUACUGGAUUGUUAAAAGGUAGGCCAAAACCCUUUAGAUUAGAUGUGGGCUGGUUGGAGGAGAAAGAUGUUGUUGAGAUGAUUAGAGGGGCUUGAGAAAAUACCGUUGUGGAGGGUAUUUUGGAUUUUCAAUUACACAAGUUGUUGAAUAUCAAACAUAACUGAUUAUAUGGAAAAGAUAGAGCAAUUUUGAUAUUAAAGCCAAAAAUCGAUGGGGUUUUAUCUGAUAUUGAAUUAUUAGAUCAUAAUACCCAAUUGGCUGGUGUGUUAACUGAGCAAAUUAGUUUUGGAUCGUUGUUUGAAACUUAAAGGAUUUGAGGAGUUGUGUAGAGCAGGUAAAAUUUAUUGGAAGCAAAGAUCUAGAUCGAAGUGGUUAAAAGAAUGAGAUCUUAAUAUUAAAUUCCUUCAUGCGAUUGUUAGUGCAAGAAGAAGACAAAAUGAUCUCUUUAGAUUGGCCAUUCCUAGGAUCAAUUCAGAGAAUGAUUAUGCUAUAGAGGGUGCAGUUAUUAAUCACUUCAAGAGGGCAUUUACUAAAUAAGUUAAAUUUACUCCCUCUUUAAACAAAGUUCCUUUCAAAGUGUUGUCGAUGGAGAUGAAGAGUCUUUUGGAGAGAGAGGUCACUAUUGAGGAGUUGUAUAAGGUGUUUGCAAUGCUAGGGGACAAGGCGUCUGGACCUGAUGGUUUUUAGUUUUUUCUCAUAAAUUUUUGAAUUUGGUUAAAGGUGAAUUAUUGGAGUUUGUUAGAAGUUUUAUAAUUAGGAGGUAUAUUUUUAAAGGGGUAAACUCUACUUUUUUGGCAUUGCUUCCCAAAAAAUCAGUGAUUUCUAACCUAUCAGACAUUCGAUCGAUUAGUUUACUCACCUGCCUUUACACAAUUAUUGCAAAAGUUUUAGCGAAAAGAUUGAAAGUUGUCAUUUCUCUCCUCAUCUUUAGUACACAGUCAGUGCUUAUUCAAGAUCGCCAAAUUAUUGAUAGGGUGCUUGUUGCACAAGAAUGUAUUCAUGCACAAGAAUGUAUUCAUCCUAAAGUCAUGAGUAAGAAGCCUGGUAUUUUGCUUAAGCUGGAUAUGAAAAAAGCCUAUGACCGAGUAGAAUGGAGAAUUAUGUUAGAAAUUUUAAAGGUUAUGGGAUUUGGCGAUAGAUAAAGGAGCUGAAUUCUUUGAUGUCUUUCUUAAGCUUAUUUUUCGGUGUUAUUCAAGAUGAGUCCCAUUGGUUAUUUCAAUGCUUUUAGAGGUCUUCGACAAAGGGUACCCUCUUUCUCCCUUCUUAUUCACUAUCUACGCUGAAUGCUUGAGUUUAAUGUUAAGUUCGGUGGAGAGAUUGGGUCACUUUGUGGGCUUUAAGCUUUCUGAUUCUAGUAUUGUUAUUUCUCAUUUGCAAUACGUAGAUGACACUUUAAUCUUUUGUAAUGUUGACUCUCUUCAAGUUAAGAGCAUUGUUAGAUUUUUGGAAGUUUGUGAGGUCAAGCUUGGCCUUAAAGUUAAUUUUCACAAAUCUUCCAUGGUUGGAAUUAAUUGCUCAGAAGACAUGGUAGUAAAAUGGGGUGUAAAGUUGGUUCUUUCUCUGUCAUAUAUCUCGAUUUACCUAACUCUUAUUCAAGGCAUUCCAUUGAACUUUGGGAUAAAGUGCUAUAAAGUGUCCAAUUCAAACUAGAUCUUUGGAAGCACAAGUAUCUGUCGUUGGGUGGGAGGGCAACGUUGUUGAGAUCUUGUUUGGCUAACCUUCCGGUUUAUCAGAUGUCAUUGAUUAAUAUGCUCGCUUCGAUCCCAAAAAAAAUCAAAAAAAUGAUGCGAAACUUUCUUUGGGGUUCUAGUACUGAGAUGAGGAAAUUUCAUUUACUACAAAAGGAUAAAGUGUGCACCCCAAAUACGGAAGGUGGUUUGGGUAUUCAAAAUGUUAGAAUGGCUAACCAAGCUUUGAUGUGUAAAUAGUGGUGGCAUAGUCUCUAUUUACAGGAUCAUCUUUGUUACUAAGUUUUAUUGUCUAAGUAUGGGAUGAAUAGAUAUGAUGUAUGGCUUGGGGGUGGAAGAGGCAAGGAGACAUCUCAUAUGUGGAGCGCAAUAUUUAAUUCUAGACCAAUGAUUUUGGGUUACUUUAGAUGAAACUUAGGUUGUGAUGAUCAUAUUUUCUUUUGGCAUCAUAAAUGGAUUGGGGAGUACCCGUUGAAAUUUGUUUUCCCUACGUUAUUUGAGAUUGUUACUACACCUAAUUUGAAAGUCAAUAAGGCUGUAGAUAGAAGGGGUCAACUUAUUUCGUGGAAUAUUUUUUUGCCCUAUAGCCGUUUGAAUAAUAUUUUAUUUUUCCAAGGGUGUGCAUUGAUGGAGAUGUUGAAUAAGGCCUAUAUUUCGUAGAAUGCCGAGGACGAGAUGAUAUGGGAGAUAAAAAGUGACGGUGUCUUUCCAUCAAAUCGUGUUAUAAUAUUCUUUUUCACGACCAUUGGAGAUGGUCUUGUCCUCAUAUUGCUCAAAUUUGGAAAUGGACGAUCCCCUACAAAGUUCAAGUCUUUAUUUGGUUGGCUUCUCUGAAUAAGGGUUUGGGCCAUUGACAAUUUGAUCAAAAGGGGGAAAAGUUCUGUGAAAUGUGUGCUUGUUUUGCAAAUCUGAUGGUGAAACUAGUACGCAUCUAUUUAUCCAUUGUUCUUUUACAGUGAGAAUUUGGCACUGGCUGUUUGGCAUUUUAGGGAUAAAUAUUGUGCUUUCUCAAUCUGUGGAGGGGAUAGUUUCACAAUUUGCUCUAUCUCAUCUGCCUAAGAUGGAUAAGGUUAUUUGGAAAAUAGCUAUAGGUGUCAUCGUUUGGGAGGUUUGGAAGAAAAGAAAUAGAAUGACCUUUGAUGGAAAUUCUAUGCCUUUUGAUAGAAUAAUUUAUAUCAUAAUACUUUCUAUUUGGUCGUGGCUAUUAGUGACAAAAGAGAGAUGGGGUAUCUCUAAGGUAGAUGUCAUGGUUAAUCUCNNNNNNNNNNNNNNNNNNNNGAGAGAGAGUUAAGGAGAGAAAGAAGAGAUAAAAAUAAAAUAAAAAGAAAGAGUAGAUAAAUAUUAAAAAAAAUUAGAGAGAGAAAGAAGAGAAAAAAAAAAUUAUAGAGAAAUAAAAGAUAAAUAUUAAAAAAAAAUUAAAGAGAGAAAGAAAAGAUAAAUAUAAAAAGAAUAAUUAUAGAGAUGAAAGAGAUAAAUAUAAGAUCAGUUUUGUAGCACGUUGGAAUAAAGUUGGUUGAAAAAUUAAAGAGAGAGAAGGAGAGAAAGAAGAGGUAAACAUAAAAAGAAUUAGAGAAAUGAAAGAGAUAAAUAUGAGGAGAAAAUAAUUUAUUGAAUGUCAUAUAACAUGAUUUAGUUUUUAUUGUACUUAAAAUAUUGUACUGUAAUUGUAUUUCACUAUAAGAAGCUUGGUAUUCUGCUUAAGCUGGAUAUGAAAAAAGCCUAUGACCGAGUAGAAUGGAGAAUUAUGUUAGAAAUUUUAAAGGUUAUGGGAUUUGGCGAUAGAUAAAGGAGUUGGAUUUUUUGAUGUCUUUCUUAUGCUUAUUUUUCGGUGUUAUUCAAGAUGAGUCUCAUUGGUUAUUUCAAUGCUUUUAGAGGUCUUCGACAAAGGGUACCCUCUUUCUCCCUUCUUAUUCACUAUCUACGCUGAAUGCUUGAGUUUAAUGUUAAGUUCGGUGGAGAGAUUGGGUCACUUUGUGGGCUUUAAGCUUUCUGAUUCUAGUAUUGUUAUUUCUCAUUUGCAAUACAAAGAUGACCCUUUAAUCUUUUGUAAUGUUGACUCUCUUCAAGUUAAGAGCAUUGUUAGAUUUUUGAAAGUUUGUGAGGUCAAGCUUGGCCUUAAAAUUAAUUUUCACAAAUCUUCCAUGGUUGGAAUUAAUUGCUCAGAAGACAUGGUAGUAAAAUGGGGUGUAAGUUGGUUCUUUCUCUGUCAUAUAUCUCGAUUUACCUAACUCUGAUUCAAGGCAUUCCAUUGAAGUUUGGGAUAAAGUGCUUUAAAGUGUCCAAUUCAAACUAGAUCUUUUGAAGCACAAGUAUCUGUCGUUGGGUGGGAGGGCAGUGUUGUUGAGAUCUUGUUUGGCUAACCUUCCGGUUUAUCAGAUGUCAUUGAUUAAUAUGCUCGCUUCGCUCCCAAAAAAAAUCAAAAAAAUGAUGCGAAACUUUCUUUGGGGUUCUAGUACUGAGAUGAGGAAAUUUCAUUUACUACAAAAGGAUAAAGUAUGCACCCCAAAUACGGAAGGUGGUUUGGGUAUUCAAAAUGUUAGAAUGGCUAACCAAGCUUUGAUGUGUAAAUAGUGGUGGCAUAGUCUCUAUUUACAAGACCAUCUUUGGUACCAAGUUUUAUUGUCUAAGUAUGGGAUGAAUAGAUAUGAUGUAUGGCUUGGGGGUGGAAGAGGCAAGGAGACAUCUCAUGUGUGGAGCGCAAUAUUUAAUUCUAGACCAAUGAUUUCGGGUUACUUUAGAUGAAACUUAGGUUAUGAUGAUCAUAUUUUCUUUUGGCAUCAUAAAUGGAUUGGGGAAUACCCGUUGAAGUUUGUCUUCCCUACGUUAUUUGAGAUUGUUACUAGACCUAAUUUGAAAGUCAGUAAGGCUGUAGAUAGAAGGGGUCAACUUAUUUCGUGG